This 372-nucleotide ribosomal RNA is filed under the name uncultured bacterium. Its description in RNAcentral is "bacterial SSU rRNA". It matches the Rfam family "Bacterial small subunit ribosomal RNA", at positions 524 to 898 of the family's 1533-position model. The record is from RNAcentral.
UACGGAGGAUGCAAGCGUUAUCCGGAUUCAUUGGGUUUAAAGGGUGCGUAGGCGGGUAUAUAAGUCAGAGGUGAAAUCCGGCAGCUCAACUGUCGCACUGCCUUUGAUACUGUAUAUCUUGAGUUAAGUUGAAGCAGGCGGAAUGUGACAUGUAGCGGUGAAAUGCAUAGAUAUGUCACAGAACACCGAUAGCGAAGGCAGCCUGCUAAAGUUAUACUGACGCUGAUGCACGAAAGCGUGGGUAGCGAACAGGAUUAGAUACCCUGGUAGUCCACGCCGUAAACGAUGAUCACUCGCUGCGUGCGAUACAAUGUACGUGGCCAAGCGAAAGCGUUAAGUGAUCCACCUGGGGAGUACGAUCGCAAGGUUGAA